UGUUGGUGAAUAAGAGCAUAUACACUCGUCAUCGCCGGCUGUGGCAAGCGUUGGCAUGGCAUGGCAUGGCUCGGAUCUGGAGAAGUAGGCGAAACCUGCCAAGUCCUCCAAGCAGGCGAGGGUACGGAGCGUUGUCUGAGCGUCGUCAAGAGUGUUGAAAAGAAGUGAAUUGCGAGCUAAUGAAAAAAGGCAAGACGCAGGCAAGUCUGCCAACAAGAACGAAGACAGAUAGGGCGAUCGCGCUUCCAAGUACUCUUUAGCUCAUGUUGAGCGACUCUGUUUUUGGAACUUUGAAUAAUCAAUAUCGCGUUCAUCGCGGGCCCCAACUUCGUUGUCCAGUGAGUAGUGCUAAUGAAGAAAACGGGUGGCAGUGGAAAGCGAGUGAGUGAGCGAGCGAGAGAGGCGGAACGCGAGAUUAAAAAAAUCAGAUUGUCAUAUCAAGAUAUUACGCGAUGACGAAGAGUUCCCGUAGCAGACCAGCAGCGCAGAGUGCAGUAAAAAGUGCCAGACCGUGGACGUGGAUUCAAGUGAGCCGUAGACGCCGAGGAGAACGGUCAACCAACGUGGGUUGGGUUGGGUUUGCUUUGUUCGGGUCAUGACACCAGCGUCAUGUGUUUUGUUUUGGGCUGUUGGACGAAUGGAUUGAAAGGGCGAAAAAAAAACCAGCCUGUCAAGCAGACCCCAACCUGAGCGGACGUCACCUGCGUUUCGGGGGAGUGAAAUCCGAUCGAACUAUGGAAAAUGUCUGACAAAAUGGACAUAAUUUUGAUACAUUUUAUUCAACUCAACACGAACGAAAACUAUGUUUAGUGUUUAAGAAGCAAUUCAAGCUCACUAUCCUUCUGGGAUGAGACGAUAUCAGCUGGAGGAAUCGUGAGCUGAAAGCACACUCGCACACAUACAACCAGAGAGGUAGAAUCCACCAGAAUCCCAAGCACAUUGCUUAUCGGUUCAUAAUCUGCUUCGCGGAAAGACCAUUGAGUCUAGCUGACACAGAAGCGGGAAAGCGGAAACUGUUUUUUGUGCAGCGAUGAGAAGAACGGGGACGGCAAGUGGAGCGGCAUUGUAGAUGCUUUCCUGCUGAUAAGGCACCUUCCGAAUUCCCACCGAAGAACUUACUCUAAUUUGGAUGCAUUCGUUGUCAUUCGCACAAAGUCUCGAGUCUGCUUGCUAUCCUCCGGACUUGGUCCAGUUCUCUUCUUUUUUUUUUUUUCAAAUGACCCGCUGGCAACGGCAGUAUGAAGAGCGAUAAGAGUUCAAAAGAAAGCCAUUCCCCAAUUCUGACCAACUUCUUUUGAAGGAUCUUCGACCUGCACGAGAGCAGAUGGAUGUGGGUGGUCGAUAUCCGCACGCCAAUCUCUACAUACUCGGCACACACAUAAACUCGGCACAUGUGCGAGAAGGUUCGCUGGUUUUUACGUGGCGAUAGACGGGAAGCAGCGAAGCAGUGCGAGGGAAAGCUUUUCGUUAUCGCAAGAACCAUACUUCGCUUAUCGCUCCGGUCCGAUCAACAAUUUAUACACAAUACAGACCCACCACCGCCGCUCCACCACCAAAACCACCACCACUGCUGCCUGUUCAGAGACCAGCCGCCAUUCAUCCACCAGUGCAGCACCUCCGCCACUUCGUCAGUCGGUGGUCCAUUCAUCCAUCCAUCCAUUCGGCUCCAAUCUAUGGCUCUCGCGGCUAAACGUACUUUUUCCGCAACUACAACGGUAUAUCCUCCUGCCUGCCCGGUACCGCUGCGACCAAUUCGGCGCGAACGAUUGUCCUUCCUGGCGUCCUGGAUAUAUGUAGAGAGAGAGAGAGAGAGAAAGAGUACUCGGGGAACUCAGAGUCGGAUUCGAGGAUAAAGGUUUUGGCAGCUUUGACAGUGAGUAAUUAUUGAAUUAGAUUUUGCAAAACUAAAGCAUUUUCUUUUACAAACAUAUUUAAAGUCAAAUUUAUAUUAUUUUGACAUGACUUUUUAACUAAAUUUCAUACCCGUUUUUGCUAAUAGUCUUUUCAAUUUGCAACAACAUCAAAGGAUGAAAUCCUAGAGUUGCGAUUCAGAAUUGUUCAGAAAUGAACAAAAAUAUACAAAUGUAAGUAAAACUCUUUCUUAAAUUUGCAACAAGAAUUUAUUCUGAAGUUGAAAAUGACAAUGCCUGAGCUGAGACACAAAACUGAAACACGGUAAUAAUUGUAUAACGUUCGAAUAAUUAAUCCAAAAUCGUAAACAUUUCGCAAUCCCUAAUAACUAUUUUUACAAAUUUUAGGUUUUUUUAAACAGAUUAGUUUUCCAGCUUUGUGGAUGUUUUUAUUUUUCAGUUCAUCGAUUUGCUGAAUAUUUAUCGAUUUGAUGAAUCUUUUGAAUUUUGAUUCUUGUUCCUUGAAGGAUUCUCUGAAGCUUGGACACAUUACUGUCUCAGAUUCGCAAAUAAUUACAGGUCGGACUCGAUUAUCCGGAACAUAAAAAAAAAAUCAUUCCGAAUAAUCGAGAUUUCCGGAUAAUCAAAUCACAGAAAAAAACAUUCAAACUUGCGUUUAACGAAUAUAAAAUAAAUAUUUCCUUUUCUUAUUUUACUUGUAUGAUGCAGUGGCGUAACCAGAAAUUAUUUCUGAGGCGAAAAGGUGUGAUUUCUUCGAACCUGUCCCAAACAUGCCGGAAUUGACAUGAAUGAUAACAAAUAUGCCGGAAGGAUGGUAAAGGUAGAAUUUCGGAUUGAAAAUUGAAAACGAACGCCAAAAAAUGAAAUUCCGGAUAAUCGAAUUCCGGAUAAUCGAGUCCGACAUGUAUUAUAUUUAUUUUUAUAUUUUACGAUUCUUUUCUUAAGAUUUUGGGGUUCCUAAGUGGUUUUAAGGUCUUUGAAUUUCUGAAAAUGUGGUUUACUUAAAAAUUCUAAUCCUAUCAUGUCAAGAUUCCUGGAUGCUUAGAAUGUUGGAUUCGAGAUUUUCGUUAUUUUUUAAUCUUGGUUCUUGAAUCUGAGGAUUACUUAAUUCUUUGAUUCACGAUCUGUAGAAUUCUUUAACUUAUCGUGAAUUUUAUUUAAUUAUUGAUUUCUGAAUUCUGCGGUCUAAACAUUUUUGAAUUUUCUAUUCCUGGAUUUGAUGCCUUUACUCUUGGAUCCCUGGAAUAGAGUGUUCAUGUACUUUAGCAUUUUUCGAAUGUUAAUUGCACGAUUUCGGAUCCAAGAUUCUUGGAUACACACAAUGCUAAAUUUAUUUGGAUUUUUUAGCUGUUGAAUAUUUGGAAUAUAAUUUUUCGGAUUCAUCAUUUUGAGGUGUCAGAUAUAUGGUUUAUACUACUUCUCGCUUUCUAAGUUCUUUGAUUCGUUGAUUUUUUUUAUUGUAUCUCGGAUUUUUUGCAUUUUUGAGUUCUAGAUUUAAAAAUUCUUGAAUUUUUGGAUUAUUGGAAGAGUUUUGGAUUUUGGAUGCAACUGUAGUAUGCUGGAUUUGCUUGUUUUUGGAUUAUGCGAUUCAACGAUACCUCGAAUCCUGUUUUUUAUGUUUUUUAUAACUUUAGAUUUCAGGAAUAUUAUGUUCUCAUACUUUUAGACACUUUAUAUGUUAUCUGUUGUAGAUUUCCAAAUUGUUGGAUAGCUGGAUUGUCGAGUUUAAUGUUCGUCGAAUUCGAAAUGCCUUGUAUCGAACUUCCUGGAAACUCCUUUCGGAAUUUCAUAUUAUUAUAUUUUUUUAAAUCUUGAAUUUCUGUACCGCGACGCGAGACAGGACAUAACACUUAUUAUUCUUACAAAACAUAAAAAGUAGUAAAUUUACCUUUUUCGUCUACGUUGGCACAAGGAAAUUAAUAGAGUGACUUGAAUUUCUGGUUUAUUGGAAGUUGGAUUAACGUUUGUAUUAAAAGAAAUGGACAAAAUGACGAAACUUUCCAUGCAGCAUCAAUCAUAGUAACCUAUGAGUCAGCAAAGAAAAAAUGACAGCUCUA
Long non-coding RNA from Wyeomyia smithii (pitcher-plant mosquito), 3928 nucleotides. RefSeq lists it as uncharacterized. The transcript has 3 exons. Lineage: Eukaryota; Metazoa; Arthropoda; Insecta; Diptera; Culicidae. The record is from RefSeq and is a predicted model, not a curated record.